AAAGACGGGGACAGAAAUUUUAAUUAUAAUUUGUACCUAAAUUACCCCAUUCUAAUUUUAUAAUUUCAAAAUUACCCUUAAUGUAAGUCAGGGCUUCUUGAUCAACCCUCGUGACUCAUCUUCUCAUUCUUCUUUGGAACAGCCACUGCAGCCGCUCAACCAUUCUUCUUCAAGAACAGCCACCGCGUCGCCGCUGGCCUCGCCACCGCUAGGAAAAUUGAAGAACGAAGUUGCCGCCUCUCCCCGAUUGCUGUCCACCUCAACCAUCAACUCCUCCUCCGAACUGCUCUGACCCAGGUUAGUUUUAUACAAAUGUUGUUUAAUUUACUGAUUCCUUUCAUCUUUUCCGUUGUGCC
Molecule: non-coding RNA, 356 nt
Organism: Arachis ipaensis
Lineage: Eukaryota; Viridiplantae; Streptophyta; Magnoliopsida; Fabales; Fabaceae
Source: RefSeq, a predicted model, not a curated record